RNAcentral lists this long non-coding RNA (571 nucleotides) under Gossypium barbadense (sea-island cotton). Its description in RNAcentral is "long non-coding RNA (GBAR_LNC013077)". The record is from RNAcentral. Lineage: Eukaryota; Viridiplantae; Streptophyta; Magnoliopsida; Malvales; Malvaceae.
GGAGACUUACCACGGGAAGGAGUUACUGACCUACGGCUGGAAGGGGGUGAUCUACGUUGCCGUGGGGAUGAAGAUCUGCGGUGUCGCUGUUGCACAGGAGAAGGUGAUCUACGUCGCAUGGGAGGUGGUGAUCUUCGUCGUAGAGGUGAUGGAGACCUACGGCGCACAGGCAAUGGGGAUUUACGACGUAUAGGUGAAGGAGAUCUGCGACGCACAGGGGAACGAGAUCCAUGAAGCAUAGGUGAGGGAGACCUACGACGCCGUACAAGAGAUGGUGAUCUGCGACGUCGAAUGGACAAUGGUGAUCUACGACGUGUAAUAGGUGAUGGUGAUCUAUAACGUCGGAUGGGUGAACGAGAUCUACGGUGCACAGGUGUAGGUGACCUGCGCCGAUAAGGAGAACGAGAUCUACGGCGCACAGGUGUAGGUGACCCGCGCCGAUAAGGAGAACGAGACUGAGAUCUACGCCUAGAGUAAGACGGUCUUCGUCUUUCAGGAGACCUUCGCCUGUAAUAAGAUGGUCUUCGUCUUACAGGAGAGCGUGAAAAAGAAGGUGAAUGCCUGGAUCGAG